CGGAGUGUAGCUCAGCCUGGUAGAGCACUGUCUUCGGGUGGCAGGGGUCGUGAGUUCGAAUCUCGCCACUCCGACCA
This 77-nucleotide transfer RNA is filed under the name Rhodobacterales bacterium. Its description in RNAcentral is "tRNA-Pro". It matches the Rfam family "tRNA". From Rfam's summary of the family: Transfer RNA (tRNA) molecules are approximately 80 nucleotides in length. Lineage: Bacteria; Pseudomonadati; Pseudomonadota; Alphaproteobacteria; Rhodobacterales. The record is from RNAcentral.